This 449-nucleotide ribosomal RNA is filed under the name uncultured prokaryote. RNAcentral's name for it is "bacterial SSU rRNA". It matches the Rfam family "Bacterial small subunit ribosomal RNA", at positions 355 to 796 of the family's 1533-position model. The record is from RNAcentral.
UGGGGAAUAUUGGACAAUGGGCGCAAGCCUGGUCCAGCAAUGCCGCGUGUGUGAAGAAGGCCUGCGGGUUGUAAAGCACUUUCAGUGGAGAAGAACAGCCUACGGUUAAUACCCGUGAGUCUUGACGUAACCCACAGAAGAAGCACCGGCUAUCUCCGUGCCAGCAGCCGCGGUAAUACGGAGGGUGCGAGCGUUAAUCGGAAUUACUGGGCGUAAAGCGCGCGUAGGCGGUUUGGUCUGUCGAAUGUGAAAGCCCAGGGCUUAACCUUGGAACUCCGUUCGAUACUGCCUGACUAGAGUAUGGUAGAGGGAAGUGGAAUUUCCGGUGUAGCGGUGAAAUGCGUAGAUAUCGGAAGGAACACCAGUGGCGAAGGCGACUUCCUGGGCCAAUACUGACGCUGAGGUGCGAAAGCGUGGGGAGCAAACAGGAUUAGAUACCCCCGUAGUCC